RNAcentral lists this ribosomal RNA (1430 nucleotides) under uncultured organism. Its description in RNAcentral is "partial small subunit ribosomal RNA". It matches the Rfam family "Bacterial small subunit ribosomal RNA". The record is from RNAcentral.
CGUGCUUACACAUGCAAGUCGAACGGAAAGGCCCUGCUUUUGUGGGGUGCUCGAGUGGCGAACGGGUGAGUAACACGUGAGUAACCUGCCCUUGACUUUGGGAUAACUUCAGGAAACUGGGGCUAAUACCGGAUAGGAGCUCCUGCUGCAUGGUGGGGGUUGGAAAGUUUCGGCGGUUGGGGAUGGACUCGCGGCUUAUCAGCUUGUUGGUGGGGUAGUGGCUUACCAAGGCUUUGACGGGUAGCCGGCCUGAGAGGGUGACCGGCCACAUUGGGACUGAGAUACGGCCCAGACUCCUACGGGAGGCAGCAGUGGGGAAUAUUGCACAAUGGGCGGAAGCCUGAUGCAGCAACGCCGCGUGCGGGAUGACGGCCUUCGGGUUGUAAACCGCUUUCGCCUGUGACGAAGCGUGAGUGACGGUAAUGGGUAAAGAAGCACCGGCUAACUACGUGCCAGCAGCCGCGGUGAUACGUAGGGUGCGAGCGUUGUCCGGAUUUAUUGGGCGUAAAGGGCUCGUAGGUGGUUGAUCGCGUCGGAAGUGUAAUCUUGGGGCUUAACCCUGAGCGUGCUUUCGAUACGGGUUGACUUGAGGAAGGUAGGGGAGAAUGGAAUUCCUGGUGGAGCGGUGGAAUGCGCAGAUAUCAGGAGGAACACCAGUGGCGAAGGCGGUUCUCUGGGCCUUUCCUGACGCUGAGGAGCGAAAGCGUGGGGAGCGAACAGGCUUAGAUACCCUGGUAGUCCACGCUGUAAACGGUGGGUACUAGGUGUGGGGUCCAUUCCACGGGUUCCGUGCCGUAGCUAACGCUUUAAGUACCCCGCCUGGGGAGUACGGCCGCAAGGCUAAAACUCAAAGGAAUUGACGGGGCCCCGCACAAGCGGCGGAGCAUGCGGAUUAAUUCGAUGCAACGCGUAGAACCUUACCUGGGUUUGACAUGGAUCGGGAGUGCUCAGAGAUGGGUGUGCCUCUUUUGGGGUCGGUUCACAGGUGGUGCAUGGCUGUCGUCAGCUCGUGUCGUGAGAUGUUGGGUUAAGUCCCGCAACGAGCGCAACCCUUGUUCACUGUUGCCAGCACGUUAUGGUGGGGACUCAGUGGAGACCGCCGGGGUCAACUCGGAGGAAGGUGGGGAUGACGUCAAGUCAUCAUGCCCCUUAUGUCCAGGGCUUCACGCAUGCUACAAUGGCUGGUACAGAGAGUGGCGAGCCUGUGAGGGUGAGCGAAUCUCGGAAAGCCGGUCUCAGUUCGGAUUGGGGUCUGCAACUCGACCUCAUGAAGUCGGAGUCGCUAGUAAUCGCAGAUCAGCAACGCUGCGGUGAAUACGUUCCCGGGGCUUGUACACACCGCCCGUCAAGUCAUGAAAGUUGGUAACACCCGAAGCCGGUGGCCUAACCGUUGUGGGGGAGCCGUCGAAGGUGGGACUGGUGAUUAGGAC